RNAcentral lists this ribosomal RNA (301 nucleotides) under uncultured bacterium. Its description in RNAcentral is "partial 16S ribosomal RNA". It matches the Rfam family "Bacterial small subunit ribosomal RNA", at positions 509 to 807 of the family's 1533-position model. The record is from RNAcentral.
CAGUAGCCGCGGGAAUACGUAGGUGGCAAGCGUUGUCCGGAAUUAUUGGGCGUAAAGGGCUCGCAGGCGGCUUCUUAAGUCUGAUGUGAAAGCCCCCGGCUCAACCGGGGAGGGUCAUUGGAAACUGGGAAACUUGAGUGCAGAAGAGGAGAGUGGAAUUCCACGUGUAGCGGUGAAAUGCGUAGAGAUGUGGAGGAACACCAGUGGCGAAGGCGACUCUCUGGUCUGUAACUGACGCUGAGGAGCGAAAGCGUGGGGAGCGAACAGGAUUAGAUACCCCCGUAGUCCCUGUCUCUUAUAC